Long non-coding RNA from Astatotilapia calliptera (eastern happy), 508 nucleotides. The record is from Ensembl. Lineage: Eukaryota; Metazoa; Chordata; Actinopteri; Cichliformes; Cichlidae.
GGGCAGGCCUGGCAGGCUCCAAUUCAAGGCUUCUAACAACAAACCAAGGCUUUCAGAAACAAAAGUGAUGAUGGAAGAUGGCAGUUUCAUUCCUUCCAUCAUUAACACCCCUACAGCUUUUCCACCUACUGCUUGGAGCUGAUCCAGAGAGGAGAUGAGAGCCGCUGGCCCUGUCUGUGAUUCUGGGGGAGCUCAUCAUGCCGGCUUCACGGUGCAGCAUCAGGCAGAGCUGCGCGGGACUGUUGGUAUUGAGCAGGGAGGAGCGCCCCGGGCAAAAUCCAUCAAAAAGGAGCUGUUUGCACUGUGGGAAUAGACAUGAAUAAUCCAUGCUUUCUUUACCAUUUCCUCAGUAACUGUGUGUAUCCCAUUACAUUCUCAGUUGCCUUUUCUUCAAAUAGCCUAACAUUGUGUUUGUAUUAGCGUUUUUAGUGAAUAGUGAUAUUUUUUAAGUAUGAAGAAUUUAUCCACAUAUUUUUUGGGGGCAGCUGACUUAAGUAUAUGACAGGGG